RNAcentral lists this ribosomal RNA (252 nucleotides) under uncultured microorganism. RNAcentral's name for it is "partial 16S ribosomal RNA". It matches the Rfam family "Bacterial small subunit ribosomal RNA", at positions 524 to 776 of the family's 1533-position model. The record is from RNAcentral.
UACGUAGGUCCCGAGCGUUGUCCGGAUUUAUUGGGCGUAAAGCGAGCGCAGGUGGUUUAAUAAGUCUGAUGUAAAAGGCAGUGGCUCAACCAUUGUGUGCAUUGGAAACUGUUAGACUUGAGUGCAGUAGAGGAGAGUGGAAUUCCAUGCGUAGCGGUGAAAUGCGUAGAUAUAUGGAGGAACACCGGUGGCGAAAGCGGCUCUCUGGACUGUAACUGACACUGAGGCUCGAAAGCGUGGGUAGCAAACAGG